CGGCAGCACAGUAAGAGCUUGCUCUUAUGGGUGGCGAGUGGCGGACGGGUGAGGAAUACAUCGGAAUCUACCUUUUCGUGGGGGAUAACGUAGGGAAACUUACGCUAAUACCGCAUACGACCUUCGGGUGAAAGCAGGGGACCUUCGGGCCUUGCGCGGAUAGAUGAGCCGAUGUCGGAUUAGCUAGUUGGCGGGGUAAAGGCCCACCAAGGCGACGAUCCGUAGCUGGUCUGAGAGGAUGAUCAGCCACACUGGAACUGAGACACGGUCCAGACUCCUACGGGAGGCAGCAGUGGGGAAUAUUGGACAAUGGGCGCAAGCCUGAUCCAGCCAUACCGCGUGGGUGAAGAAGGCCUUCGGGUUGUAAAGCCCUUUUGUUGGGAAA
This 385-nucleotide ribosomal RNA is filed under the name Stenotrophomonas sp. RNAcentral describes it as "bacterial SSU rRNA". It matches the Rfam family "Bacterial small subunit ribosomal RNA", at positions 67 to 446 of the family's 1533-position model. Lineage: Bacteria; Pseudomonadati; Pseudomonadota; Gammaproteobacteria; Lysobacterales; Lysobacteraceae. The record is from RNAcentral.